CCUACGGGAGGCAGCAGUGAGGAAUAUUGGUCAAUGGGCGCGAGCCUGAACCAGCCAAGUAGCGUGAAGGAUGACUGCCCUACGGGUUGUAACUUUCUUUUAUAAAGGAAUAAAGUGAGGCACGUGUGCCUUUUUGUAUGUACUUUAUGAAUAAGGAUCGGCUAACUCUGUGCCAGCAGCCGCGGUAAUACGGAGGAUCCGAGCGUUAUACGGAUUUAGUGGGUGUAAAGGGAGCGUAGAUGGGUUGUUAAGUCAGUUGUGAAAGCUAGGGGCUCAACCGAUAGAUUGCAAUUGAUACUGGCAUUCUUGAGUACUGUUGAGGUAGUCGGAAUUCGGGGUGUAGCGGUGAAAUGCUUAGAUAUAACGAGGAACACCAGUUGCGAAGGCAGCUUCCCAAACUGCCACUGACAUUGAUGCUCGAAAGUGUGGGUAUCAAACAGGAUUAGAUACCCGAGUAGUC
Molecule: ribosomal RNA, 460 nt
Filed under: uncultured bacterium
Lineage: Bacteria
Description: partial 16S ribosomal RNA
Rfam family: Bacterial small subunit ribosomal RNA
Source: RNAcentral